Molecule: small nuclear RNA, 116 nt
Organism: Loxodonta africana (African savanna elephant)
Lineage: Eukaryota; Metazoa; Chordata; Mammalia; Proboscidea; Elephantidae
Gene: U5
Rfam family: U5 spliceosomal RNA
About the family: U5 RNA is a component of both types of known spliceosome. The precise function of this molecule is unknown, though it is known that the 5' loop is required for splice site selection and p220 binding, and that both the 3' stem-loop and the Sm site are important for Sm protein binding and cap methylation.
Source: Ensembl
ACACUCUGGUUUCUCUUCAUAUCGUGUAAAUCUUUCGCCUUUUACUAAAGAUUUCCGUGGAGAGGAACAACUUUGAGUCUGAACUCAAUUUUUUGAGGCUUUGUGUAAGCAAGGCU